Molecule: unclassified non-coding RNA, 372 nt
Filed under: Hevea brasiliensis (rubber tree)
Lineage: Eukaryota; Viridiplantae; Streptophyta; Magnoliopsida; Malpighiales; Euphorbiaceae
Source: RNAcentral
GGUAUUGUGAUGGCUGUCGACCUGUUGCUGUUGGAUCCUCAAGCUCCCAAGCUCAGGAAUCUUUGCCUGGUCAAAGGACAACAAGCAACAUGUUUAAUAGGCCAUCUCCUGUUGCAAAUAAUGGAGAAGGUUUAGACCCCACUUUAGAGCCUUCACCUCGUUUUGCAUUCUCUCAAGGAGUUGGAAAUUUGUCAUCUCCCAGAUUUUCCUCUGGGGAUGUUCAGGCGGCUUCUCCAGUAUCUGGAGCAGGGGCGCCAACUCUGUCAGUGAGACGUCAGAUACACCGCUAUACAAAAUCUCCUUUCUAUUAGCAGAAUGAAUAAUAUGGCUGUCAGAGCUGAUGGCAUUUCAGCUGCCAACUUGCAUAGUGAC